UCUGGUUGCUUCACUGCUGUGGAGUUUCUACAUGCUGCUGUUGCUGGAUCUGUGUUAGGAGAGUCCUGUUUUGCCCUUUUUUCACAGGCAUGGAUCAACAACUGCUGGUCUUGGAUACCAUUGCAGAGUUGCUGGAUGUGCUGUUCAGGUGUUUGAAGCUCUGGUAACUGCUCUGUGGGAGGAGACAGCUCCAGCCCAACUGCCCUUCUCUACAAGCCUCUAGCCAAGGUGUCUGCAAGAGAAGUUUUACAGCUUCUGAAGAGUAUUGAAGACAGGCUGACUGUAGGCAUAGCUGCCUCUCACGAGCAGGGGUUGAGAGACUGCAGGCUUGGGAGUGAAAGCCUUGCCAGAGGCUUAUUCCCAAGUGCAGUUGUGUUCACAGCUUCCUCAGAGUCAAGAUCAGAGGGUAAAGAAAGAAGACAUGGAUCAG
This is a long non-coding RNA of Ficedula albicollis (Collared flycatcher), 430 nucleotides long. RefSeq lists it as uncharacterized. The record is from RefSeq and is a predicted model, not a curated record. The transcript has 4 exons. Lineage: Eukaryota; Metazoa; Chordata; Aves; Passeriformes; Muscicapidae.